CACGGACCCCAACAAGUGGCGCAGCGAGCAGGGUCGCACGGGAAACAGUCACUUGGACAACUCACGCCAUUUAACUCCUUUGGCUUUACAAGAACUCCAGCUUAUAGAAGAACAACUUUAAAAGGCCCCUUCCUGAUGUUCCCCUUUCCUUUUGUUUAUUUCGUACUUUACAUUCUCCUACAGGAAUAAUUCAUCAGACCAAUCGGCCGCUAGAAUGAAUCUUUUUGUCCAAUAAAACAUCUAAAUGCUUGGCUACUUAUAUCAAUCAUUUAGCUAAACUGAUCAUCAAAAAACGACAUCACUGUCGACAACUUUGGGGAGGAGAUCCUUCCUUAAUUAUCUCUCAAUUCACUCAUAGUCAGAUCACUUAUCUUCUUACAACUUCUGAUUCUUGGCAAGAAGCUUCAUCAAUCUUGAGUUACAGUUUAUCCUUAUCCCUCGGUGCAAUAGAAAAAAUUGUUUGCUAUUCUCAUGGUCUUACUUAAUUUCCCUACUACUGGUUAUAACAUUGUUAGUGAUUCUCAAUACGCUGUUUAUAUUACUUCUUAUAUUUCUCAGGCCACUUUACCUCUUUGUGCUACUUCUUCUCUUCAGAAAUUCUUUUCUUUGUUAUCCUUUACUUUGAGCCAACGUCGAGCUCCUUUAUUCAUCACUCAUCUUCGUUCUCAUUCUCAACUUUCUGGACCAUUACUCAUACCUGAGUAUUCAUGGUAAUACUCAGAUUGAUUUGCUUUUAAUCGGCCACCUACAUGCUGCAGAACAAAAAUAUACUCUACAUCACACUAAUAGUUCUGGCCUUCAACGAUGGUUUCAUUUAACUCAUAAACAAGCUCGUUCUCUUAUUCGAGCUUGUCCUUCCUGUGCUCCUUUAAACAUUCCAUCCUUCCAUCCUGGGGUUGAUCCAUGAGAUGUCCCUUCUUUUAGAUGAUUAAAAUAUGUUCAUCAUACCAUUGAUACCUUUUCUCAUUUUCAAUGGGCCACUCCGUUGCCAUCUAAAAAAGCUAAUUCUGUUAUUACACAUCUCUUGGUUUGUUUCGCCAUCAUGGGCAUUCCUCUUAUACUUAAAACUGAUAAUGCCCCUACUUAUGUCUCUCAUAAAUUACAAGUUUUCUUACAGCAAUACAAUAUUCAACAUAUCACCAAUAUCCCGGGCAACAGUCAAGGUCAAGCCAUCAUUAAGCGCACAAAUUUAACCUUAAAAACUCAACUAC
Macaca mulatta (Rhesus monkey) is the source of this 1211-nucleotide non-coding RNA. The record is from RefSeq and is a predicted model, not a curated record. NCBI's taxonomy places the organism in Eukaryota, Metazoa, Chordata, Mammalia, Primates, Cercopithecidae.